Molecule: transfer RNA, 85 nt
Filed under: Felis catus (domestic cat)
Lineage: Eukaryota; Metazoa; Chordata; Mammalia; Carnivora; Felidae
Rfam family: tRNA
About the family: Transfer RNA (tRNA) molecules are approximately 80 nucleotides in length. Their secondary structure includes four short double-helical elements and three loops (D, anti-codon, and T loops). Further hydrogen bonds mediate the characteristic L-shaped molecular structure. tRNAs have two regions of fundamental functional importance: the anti-codon, which is responsible for specific mRNA codon recognition, and the 3' end, to which the tRNAs corresponding amino acid is attached (by aminoacyl-tRNA synthetases). tRNAs cope with the degeneracy of the genetic code in two manners: having more than one tRNA (with a specific anti-codon) for a particular amino acid; and 'wobble' base-pairing, i.e. permitting non-standard base-pairing at the 3rd anti-codon position.
Source: Rfam by way of RNAcentral
GCCUGGGUGGCUCAGUCAGUUAAGCAUCUGACUUCAGCUCAGGUCAUUAUCUCACGAUUUGUGGGUUCGAGCCCCACGUCGGGCU